RNAcentral lists this ribosomal RNA (508 nucleotides) under uncultured bacterium. Its description in RNAcentral is "partial 16S ribosomal RNA". It matches the Rfam family "Bacterial small subunit ribosomal RNA", at positions 28 to 507 of the family's 1533-position model. The record is from RNAcentral.
GACGAACGCUGGCGGCGUGCUUAACACAUGCAAGUCGAACGGGCCUUGUCCCCUUUUUUUUUGGGGGUGAGGUUAGUGGCGAACGGGUGAGUAACACGUGAGUAACCUGCCCCUCACUUCUGGAUAACCGCUUGAAAGGGUGGCUAAUACGGGGUGUUCUGGCCUGCUCGCAUGGGUGGGUUUGGAAAGAUUCGACCGGUUUUGGUUGUUUUGGUGGGGGAUGGGCUCGCGGCCUAUCAGCUUGUUGGUGGGGUGAUGGCCUGCCAAGGCUUUGACGGGUAGCCGGCCUGAGAGGGUGGGCGGUCACACUGGGACUGAGACACGGCCCAGACUCCUACGGGAGGCAGCAGUGGGGAAUAUUGCACAAUGGGCGCAAGCCUGAUGCAGCGACGCCGCGUGAGGGAUGGAGGCCUUCGGGUUGUGAACCUCUUUCGCCAGUGAAGAAGGUCCUGCUCUUUGUGGUGGGGUUGACGGUAGCUGGGUUAAUGAAGCGCCGGCUAACUACGUG